GUGGGGAAUCUUGCGCAAUGGGCGAAAGCCUGACGCAGCCAUGCCGCGUGAAUGAUGAAGGUCUUAGGAUUGUAAAAUUCUUUCACCGGGGACGAUAAUGACGGUACCCGGAGAAGAAGCUCCGGCUAACUUCGUGCCAGCAGCCGCGGUAAUACGAAGGGGGCUAGCGUUGCUCGGAAUUACUGGGCGUAAAGGGCGCGUAGGCGGACAGCUUAGUCAGAGGUGAAAGCACAUGGCUCAACCUUGGAAUUGCCUUUGAUAAUGGCUGUCUUGAGUUUGGGAGAGGUGAGUGGAACUCCGAGUGUAGAGGUGAAAUUCGUAGAUAUUCGGAAGAACACCAGUGGCGAAGGCGACUCACUGGCCCAAUACUGACGCUGAGGCGCGAAAGCGUGGGGAGCAAACAGGAUUAGAAACCCCAGUAGUCC
Molecule: ribosomal RNA, 425 nt
Filed under: uncultured bacterium
Lineage: Bacteria
Description: partial 16S ribosomal RNA
Rfam family: Bacterial small subunit ribosomal RNA
Source: RNAcentral